UUAAUGUUGGUUCACGUAAAGUGAAUAACAGGGAAUAAGGUUUAAAUCCUUAACUGUACCCGCAACUGUGAUAGUGGAGUUUUUAGAAAUAUGUCACUGGGAAACUGGGAAGACUUCUAAAAAUUAAGAUACUUUAGUCAGGAGACCUACCAACAAAAUUA
Molecule: non-coding RNA, 161 nt
Filed under: marine eukaryotic metagenome
Source: RNAcentral